GACGAACGCUGGCGGCGUGCUUAACACAUGCAAGUCGAACGGAAAGGCCAUGCUCUUGUGGGGUGCACGAGUGGCGAACGGGUGAGUAAAACGCGUGUAUACCCCCCUUAUAUUUGGGAUAUCAUUAGGAAACUGGGGCUCAUAUCGGAUAGGAUCUCUUGCUGCGUGGUGGGGGAUGGUAAGUUUCGGUGGUUGGGGAUGGUCUGGCGGGUUACCCGCUUGUUGGGCGGGUUGGGGAUUUCAAAGGGUUUGAAGGGUAGGCCGCCUGGGAGGGUUACCGGCCACAUUGGGACUAAGGUAGGGCCCAGACUGCUACGUGAGGCAGCAGUGGGAAAUAUUGCGCAAUGGGCGGAAGCCUGAUGCAGCAACGCCGCGUGCGUAAUACCGGCCUUCGGGUUAUAAACCGCUGUCGCCGGAAACGAGGCGUUAUUGACGGUAAUGGGUAAGGAAGCACCGGCUAACUACGUG
This 468-nucleotide ribosomal RNA is filed under the name uncultured bacterium. RNAcentral describes it as "partial 16S ribosomal RNA". It matches the Rfam family "Bacterial small subunit ribosomal RNA", at positions 28 to 507 of the family's 1533-position model. The record is from RNAcentral.